GGUUAAGUUAAUAAGGGCGCACGGUGGAUGCCUUGGCACUAAGAGCCGAUGAAGGACGGGACUAACUCCGAUAUGCUUUGGGGAGCUGUAAGUAAGCUUUGAUCCAAAGAUUUCCGAAUGGGGAAACCCGG
This 131-nucleotide ribosomal RNA is filed under the name uncultured bacterium. RNAcentral's name for it is "partial 23S ribosomal RNA". It matches the Rfam family "Bacterial large subunit ribosomal RNA", at positions 1 to 131 of the family's 2925-position model. The record is from RNAcentral.